GGGGGAUAUUGCGCAAUGGGGGCAACCCUGACGCAGCAACGCCGCGUGAAGGAUGAAGGUUUUCGGAUUGUAAACUUCUUUUAUUAAGGACGAAGAUUGACGGUACUUAAUGAAUAAGCUCCGGCUAACUACGUGCCAGCAGCCGCGGUAAUACGUAGGGAGCAAGCGUUGUCCGGAUUUACUGGGUGUAAAGGGUGCGUAGGCGGCUUUGCAAGUCAGAUGUGAAAUCUAUGGGCCCAACCCAUAAACUGCAUUUGAAACUGUAGAGCUUGAGUGAAGUAGAGGCAGGCGGAAUUCCCCGUGUAGCGGUGAAAUGCGUAGAGAUGGGGAGGAACACCAGUGGCGAAGGCGGCCUGCUGGGCUUUAACUGACGCUGAGGCACGAAAGCGUGGGUAGCAAAC
RNAcentral lists this ribosomal RNA (401 nucleotides) under uncultured bacterium. RNAcentral describes it as "bacterial SSU rRNA". It matches the Rfam family "Bacterial small subunit ribosomal RNA", at positions 356 to 773 of the family's 1533-position model. The record is from RNAcentral.